This 76-nucleotide transfer RNA is filed under the name Candidatus Saccharimonadota bacterium. Its description in RNAcentral is "tRNA-Ala". It matches the Rfam family "tRNA". Rfam says of the family: Transfer RNA (tRNA) molecules are approximately 80 nucleotides in length. Their secondary structure includes four short double-helical elements and three loops (D, anti-codon, and T loops). Further hydrogen bonds mediate the characteristic L-shaped molecular structure. tRNAs have two regions of fundamental functional importance: the anti-codon, which is responsible for specific mRNA codon recognition, and the 3' end, to which the tRNAs corresponding amino acid is attached (by aminoacyl-tRNA synthetases). tRNAs cope with the degeneracy of the genetic code in two manners: having more than one tRNA (with a specific anti-codon) for a particular amino acid; and 'wobble' base-pairing, i.e. permitting non-standard base-pairing at the 3rd anti-codon position. The record is from RNAcentral. Lineage: Bacteria; Candidatus Saccharimonadota.
GGGGCCAUAGCUCAGCCGGGAGAGCGCCUGCUUUGCAAGCAGAGGGUCGUCGGUUCGACCCCGACUGGUUCCACCA